Small nucleolar RNA from Nannospalax galili (Upper Galilee mountains blind mole rat), 133 nucleotides. The record is from Ensembl. Lineage: Eukaryota; Metazoa; Chordata; Mammalia; Rodentia; Spalacidae.
CCCCUUUUAAAAACUCUCAAUGGGCCUUUUCCUAGUGACCCAAUGAGCCAUCAAGAAGGGGCAGAGUAAAAACACUCCUUUUGGGUGAAGUAGUAACUUGUGUUGUUUUACUUCAAUCCAUGUUGUAACAAGA